Molecule: ribosomal RNA, 495 nt
Filed under: uncultured bacterium
Lineage: Bacteria
Description: partial 16S ribosomal RNA
Rfam family: Bacterial small subunit ribosomal RNA
Source: RNAcentral
GACGAACGCUGGCGGCGUGCCUAAUACAUGCAAGUCGAACGCUGAAGGAGGAGCUUGCUCUUCUGGAUGAGUUGCGAACGGGUGAGUAACGCGUAGGUAACCUGCCUGGUAGCGGGGGAUAACUAUUGGAAACGAUAGCUAAUACCGCAUAAGAGUAGAUGUUGCAUGACAUUUGCUUAAAAGGUGCAAUUGCCUCACUACCAGAUGGACCUGCGUUGUAUUAGCUAGUUGGUGGGGUAACGGCUCACCAAGGCGACGAUACAUAGCCGACCUGAGAGGGUGAUCGGCCACACUGGGACUGAGACACGGCCCAGACGCCUACGGGAGGCAGCAGGAGGGAAUCUUCGGCAAUGGACGGAAGUCUGACCGAGCAACGCCGCGUGAGUGAAGAAGGGUUUCGGAUCGUAAAGCUCGGUUGUAAGAGAAGAACGAGUGUGAGAGUGGAAAGUUCACACUGUGACGGUAGCUUAACAGAAAGGGACGGCUAACUACGUG